RNA transcript from Camellia sinensis, 1747 nucleotides. RefSeq lists it as uncharacterized. Lineage: Eukaryota; Viridiplantae; Streptophyta; Magnoliopsida; Ericales; Theaceae. The record is from RefSeq and is a predicted model, not a curated record.
AGUAAACCAGAACGCUUAUCCAAACACUGACUGACCCGUCUCGCGGGGCGGACCAGAGAAUCGAGUACAUGUACACACACACUCUGAUUGGGGAGCAAAGUUGGAGCUCUGUGAAUGGCGGUUUCAUCGUCUCCUCAGCCUUCAUUUCUCUCUUCUCUCCGGCUCAACAACACAACCACUGCCAACCUAAGUUGUUCGUCUUCCCCCAAUCUUUCCUUCAUUGUUGACGUUCCAACCAAAACCACCAAUCCACGACGACGACCACAAUCGAUUGUCGUCUACUCUUCCAAAUCGAAUAAUGGACUCUCGAGUGAUCAGAACAGAGAGUUUCUCGAACGAUACGGUCUUAAUCCCGACGACUUCCUAUCAAAACCUUCUCCUAAGACAAGGAGAAAGGAACUGCGAAAGACAGGGAGGGGAAAGCAGGUCCCACCGGAGGAACCUAAGCCGCCAAGGGAGACUCAUAAAUUGCUUCAGGUGCUUGGAGGAACAGCUAAAAGGAAGAAAUUGCUCUCACCAAAGGGCAUGGACGUACGCCCAAUGAUGGAAGUUGUAAAAGGUGCAGCCUUUGACAUUUUGCAGGUGGCCGGUGGUUGUCCUGUAUCUUUAAGGCCUGGUCGUUGGUUAGACUUGUAUAGCGGCACAGGAUCUGUUGGUAUUGAGGCUCUCAGCCGGGGAUGUUCUGAGGUGCAUUUCGUCGAGAUGGAUCCUUGGGUUGUUUCAGAUGUUCUACGACCAAAUUUAGAUUGGACUAGUUUUCUUGAUGUUUCUGUCAUACAUACAGCCCAUGUCGAAAGGUUCUUAGAACAGGCUGAGCGGUUUGUAGAUGGGCCAUUUGAUUAUAUUAGCGUGACACCUCCGUAUACUGAAGUGGAUUAUGGGGUACUGAUGGAUCAAGUUUCAAAAUCAUCUGUAGUUGGAGAGGAUACCUUUAUAGUAGUAGAGUAUCCUUUAAGAACAGACAUGCUGGAUUCAUGUGGAUGCCUCAUAAAGAUUUCUGACCGACGGUUUGGCCGGACACAUUUAGCAAUAUAUGGACCCAAGUGGGCACAGAAAAAGAGAAAGUCGGAGAAGUCUAUUUGGGCAUUAGCAGAAAAAGUUUGAUUGGUAAUGGAAGUGUGAAAUUUUUGAGGUUGAGUUCUGCAGUGGAUGUUUGGCAUGUCUUUGAUGCUUUAUAUGAGAUGUAAUGUUCACUGCUGUGAUGGAGCUACACUGGCUUCACCAGCUCUUCAUGCGUAUCAUGGCUGCUGAAUAAGUGCAAGAAUAUUGAUCUAGCCUGAAGCACAGUCAGAUUGAUCUUGUUAAACUCACCGACAAGACUUGCCUGAUUUUCAGUAACAAAAGAGAAAUGUUUACAUAGCUAUGCACAUUAUUUGAUAUGCCAAGAUAAGCCUUUGACCUACAUGCCAUGGAUGGUUGUCUUGGAUUGUUGAUUCUGCUAAGGUGCUCUCCCAGCCCUUUUUUCAAUUUUUUUUUUUUUUUUUUGGAUAGGAAAAUUGAAGAGUAUUUGAUUGGGAAGCAAUGCAGCAUUUCACUACGUAGUCAAAAUUAUGCUUGUAUGAGAAAAACCUAGGGUUUUUUAGUUUUUUACAUGAUUUGAACAUGGCGGCAUGGAGUUGAUGGUCUUGGUUAGGAAUGGCAGGGGAGAUGUGUUUGGUCUUUGGUGUAUAUUAUUUAAAUUUGAAUAUUUAAAUGCUAGUGAUAUAUGGAUAGAUAUAAGGAUUUUAAAUAUUAAAAAAAAAAGAAA